UCGUCAUUGUUACGUACCGUAUUUUUAUACAUUGGGACAACCCGGAUUAACUAUGACAAUUAAGGGCCAAGACUAUUCCGGGAUUUGACGUCGGGACUUUUGACCAUUUGAUUUUAUUUUGAGACAUAAGUUGAAUAUGAAAUUGAUGGCAUUGGACACUUAGGAAAAAUUGGGACCACAAUUCAUAAAAUUGGAAUUUAAAAGUCUUGCACCAAAAGCCAUGGUGGCCGUGUGGACUUGAAAUGGUCCCACACAUUGUGUGGCCAAUUUUAAUUGGUCCAACACAUGUGUGGGCCAUAAACAAAGGGAGAUAUUUGUGGAUACAAAAAAAAAAAAAAAAAGACUAAGUCAUCUUUCUCAUUUCCCACUUCUACACUUAGAGAAAAAUAACAAGACUUGGAGAGCCUCCACUCCCCCAUGGUUCUCGGCCACAACCAAGAAAAAUCAAGUCCCAUUUUUGCCUCUCUAAAAUUAUUUCUUUGGUAUAAACCCACUAUUUGGAGGUCCCUAAGUAGCGUGGAAGUAUUGUUUGGGUCAUUCAACCACUCAUUUUUCCCAUUUACAAACCCUAGCCUAUUGGUGGAUUGAAGAAUAAAGGUGAGUUCUAAUCUUGUUUUUGGAGUUAUAAAUGUUGUAUGCAUAUUGUAGUAUGCUAAAAUGGAUAAAAAUCAUGAAAUAUGGAAUGUUGAAGUUGGGUCUUGUGUUGGGUGUGUUGACCGUGUGAAGUAUAUGUGUGUGGUGUGGUAUUGGGUUGACGAAUUAAUUGCUUGUAGCAUAUUGAUUGUCGUAGAGUGGAGAAGAGAAUAAAAAUCAUCGAUACAUGUAUAUGUGUAGUGUAGCCGUGUAUAUAGCCUCCAAAUGGUAGCAAAGAAUGAAUUAAUAUCGCUUAGCGUCGUAAUGGUUGUUGUGAUGAUUUGUAUGUUGGAAAUGAGAGUUAAAUGUCCCGAAUUGAUAUAGUAAGCGUUGCGGACUGAUUUGGAGAACUUUGUGCAUUUAAUGCAAUCCUUAUAUAUGAGAACCAUUAACAUAUGAAUAUGUGUAGUGUGAAUGAAUGUGAGUCAUAGAUUAUGCCGAAUAUCGCAUUAUUAUCGCUUAAGCGCUUUCGUGUCGUCGUUACGAAUUUUAGUUUGGAAUUGAGCAUUUAAUGACUUAAGAUUGAUGUUGAGAUUGUACGGGCUGAUUUGAGGGUUAUUGUGCGUUGAUGUAAUUUGUAUAUUUUAUGAAAAUGGUAUCGUUAUAUUGUGAAUUGUGAUACAAAACAUGAAUUGAAAGUCGGAAGUGUGCCCAGUGGGCUGCUCACGGGUAGGGGCUGUUUUCGGCCAAAAAUUUGGAGAAAUUGUGGAUUGUUGGAAAAAUUAUGUGAAUUUUUUAGAAUGUUCUUGAAUGUUGUUAGUAUGGGUUUGGGUUAAUAAUCGAAUGUACGAACGAUAUUGUGGCUUGAAAGUAAGCCAUUGAAUUGAAUAAUUGGAAAGUUGUCGAAUGGUGUAAAAGAGAGCUACUAUUAUUAUUUUGCCUUUCGAAUUGAUUAUCGAUGUUGCUAGGUUGGUUAUUGUGGUUGUUGUUGUUGAUUUUGAGCGAGUUAAAUUCUCGGGAUGGCCUAUUUAUAGGGGAAAUGCUGCCGAAUUUUCUGUAGAAUUUAAUGUUAGUUGGAAUAAAUGGCUUAAGUGCCUAUGUUUAAUAUUGGAUAUUCGUUGGCAUAUUUGUAGACCUUGGGGAGCCCGAGGCGUAGAUUGGAAUUUACUUUAUAUUGGCCAUCUUGGAGUGCGCACGAGGUAUGUAAAGCAACCUCCCUUCUUUUUGGCAUGUCUUAGUUUUACAUAGGCUAGAUUAGAGCCUUAAGGAAAUUCCAAAUCCGAAAUCCGAGCAUGAUAUGAUCUAUAUAUGUUCCUUGGCACUCUUAUGUAUGAUUUGAUGAAAUAUGAACCUUUAUGUAUUUGAAAUAAUCGCUUUCCAAACUUUGCGCAAAAAGGUUUCACUUUAAAGAACUUCGAAAUUUCUGAAUGCCAUACAUUUCACAUAAAUGCUCGGAUUACUCCAAUAUUUUUAUAAAAGUUUGCAUUAUGUAUGAUACGUAUGUUUUUCAUAGGCGGGCCCGACUUGGGUAAAUACCCGUCCGUGGGUCCCGCGACUUUCCUUUAUGUAAUUCAGAGAAUCUUUGAAAGAAUUUGGUAUGAUUAUUAUUCCGAUUUCAAAUAUGAUCAUUUUACUUAUGUUUGAAUUUAUGAUAAUGAUUUUAUGCAUAUGACUACUCACGACUCUACUCGUGCAUUCUGUUAUUCCUUUCGCCGAGUCCCGGGCCGGUUCUGUUGUCGUGCGCAUUUUGAUAUACUCCGGAGUUAUGCUGUGUUUAUGGUUCACCGAGCUACUCGCAAAAGAGGGUCGGGUUCCACCUAUAUUUGGUGUUAUGCUGUGUAUGGCGUUAUGUUGUGAUGUGAUAUGUGACGGUGAUACGGAGAUUUGAAACUUUCUGGUGUUAUGCUGUGUUAUGGCGCCAUCGACGGGUGGGCGACCAUAUUCUUCUGUACCCUAUGCAUUACUUACAUAUUUUUGAAAGUACAGACGCACAGUUUGGUGAUCUACCCAUUUAGGACACCCUAUUCUGCUGUUUGGAGUGCUCUUCUCAUUUCAGAGCACACAUUUUGGUAUAUAUUCGUUCGCCAUGUAUAUAUGUAUUUGUUCAGGGGCACGGCGGGGCCCUGUCCCGCCAUAUGAUUCGGUUUGUCUGUUUAGAGGUCUGUAGACGUAUUUGUGGGUGUGUGUGCCUACUUCUGUACGGAUGUGUUUGCAUGACUCUAUUCGUUAUGGCAGCCUCGUCGGCGUGCAUUUUGUAUAUGUUUGUGGCAGCCUUGUCGGCGUGCAUUUGUAUAUGCGUUUUGGGCCGUUGUGCCAUUUGACAGCCUUGUCGGCUUUUGACAUAUUUGAUAGCCUUGCCGGCUUUUUGAUAUAUGUGCAUAUGUUCGGCGAUGUAUAUUCCGCCGCCUCUUCUGAUUCUGAUAUAAUGUUUUGUACGCGCAAUCGCGCAAGAUAA
Molecule: long non-coding RNA, 3028 nt
Organism: Lycium barbarum (goji berry)
Lineage: Eukaryota; Viridiplantae; Streptophyta; Magnoliopsida; Solanales; Solanaceae
Exons: 2
Source: RefSeq, a predicted model, not a curated record